UGUGUUUUGGUACUUUUUUGAGACCUAGUUGUUACUCAGUGCUUCCGCUUGCUGCUUGCCCUGAUCACUCUGCCUUAUUAUGCAUAACAACUGUGCAACAGACUUCCUGCCCUAUUUUCGCCUUGCUGAACAACUCUAAACAAUGUAAAAGUACAACUCUAACAUAGCUUAAUGACAACUGAAAUUGAAGAGUUCUGCGUUCACCAGAAUCUGAAGUGCCAUGGAUUGUGUCACCAAACAUCACAUUGUACCCAGUCUCGGAUGGGGAAUUUGGAAUCUCACCAGUAAGGCUCAUCUGCUAAAUGGUUUCUUUCCAGACAAACUGGCUUUGGAGUGCUUUCAGGACAAAUCACCAAUGAGUCAAAACAAGAAGCCAAGCAGAACGAAGCUACAAAGUGAAGGGACAGAGCAGAAAACCUUUAGCCUGAGCAACAAACUCUCAGUGUGGGGAAAAGGAUCAACUUUUACCUGCAAAGCUAAUCACAAUUAUACUGAAUAUAAGAAGACAAUAAGCAUUUGUCACAAAAUUCACCUUCUGGCUGAUUAAUGGAGUGCCACAAAUGAAAAAAAAAUGUGCAGAGAGUAAAACACAACUCUUAUUAUCAGUAAACUUUUUUCUUGAGUCAGAGGAUGCAAGUAAAGCAUUUAACAUGCAGAGGAGAGCAAAUGUGUGUCAGAUCUGCUGAGAAGACUAUAAAUAUUGCAGUUCAAACUCCAUAGAAAUCAGGAUCUUGACCAGAUCUGCUGAAGGGAACAACUGUCCUCAUGUGACCUCUACAUCACCUUACAAGUCAAUGUGGAGCUUCUUCUGGUCCAAAGUAAGGAGUCAAGAUCACAGACACUCUUAUGCUCUGGAUGGGUCUUCAACGCUCAUAUUAGAUGGUUUAACGAGUCUCAGCAAAGAUCUCCAACAACCACUGAUAUCAGCAAGAGAGUAGAUGGACAUGCUAGAGUGACCAGCCAACUUAUAAUUGAUCACUCUGAGUGGAAAACAGGAAAGAUCUUCACUUGUACAGUAUCUGACAGGUCUCUGAAUAAAAAUAUCACAAGAAAUAUCAAUCUCUGUUCAGGUAAAGUGAAAACACUAUUAUUGUGAUACACAAUAAGAUUUUUUUGGUUUUGGUGUUUUUUUCAAGUACCUCCAUCAUCCUCACAGCUAGUUGGGGUUUAUGUUCAGGGACCAUCACCACUGCAGCAGCCUGAGAACAAAGGGCCCGUGACUGUUAUCUGUCUUCUGGUUGCCCCUAGUCUUAAUGAUUUCUCCAUCACCUGGAAAUCAGCUGGCAACAGAAUUCCUGACUGUUAUGUCCUUACUAAUCCUGCAGUGAGUCACAACAAUGGGACAGAGACUCAACAAAGCUUCUUUAAUGUGUCAGCAGAAAAUUGGGAUGCAGAUAAACAAGAGUUUUGUGAAGGAAAACAUCCAUGUUCCAAUCAGGGCAAUGAAGACCAUAUAAGCAAAAACAGAGUGUUUUUCAAGACCUUUGUGUGCCAACAGUGAAGAUAAUGCAACCAACUGCCUCUGAACUUUCUAAGUCUGACAUCCUAACGCUUGUUUGCCUAGUGUCUGGAUUUUUCCUUGCUAACAUCAUAGUGUACUGGGAAGUAGAU
Oreochromis aureus is the source of this 1611-nucleotide long non-coding RNA. RefSeq lists it as uncharacterized. The record is from RefSeq and is a predicted model, not a curated record. Lineage: Eukaryota; Metazoa; Chordata; Actinopteri; Cichliformes; Cichlidae. The transcript is spliced from 6 exons.